UAGCGGCAGGCUUAACACAUGCAAGUCGAGGGGCAGCAUAAUGGAUAGCAAUAUCUAUGGUGGCGACCGGCGCACGGGUGCGUAACGCGUAUGCAACCUACCUUUAACAGGGGGAUAACACUGAGAAAUUGGUACUAAUACCCCAUAAUAUCAUAGAAGGCAUCUUUUAUGGUUGAAAAUUCCGAUGGUUAGAGAUGGGCAUGCGUUGUAUUAGCUAGUUGGUGAGGUAACGGCUCACCAAGGCGACGAUACAUAGGGGGACUGAGAGGUUAACCCCCCACACUGGUACUGAGACACGGACCAGACUCCUACGGGAGGCAGCAGUGAGGAAUAUUGGUCAAUGGACGCAAGUCUGAACCAGCCAUGCCGCGUGCAGGAUGACGGCUCUAUGAGUUGUAAACUGCUUUUGUACUAGGGUAAACUCACCUACGUGUAGGUGACUGAAAGUAUAGUACGAAUAAGGAUCGGCUAACUCCGUG
This 479-nucleotide ribosomal RNA is filed under the name uncultured bacterium. RNAcentral's name for it is "bacterial SSU rRNA". It matches the Rfam family "Bacterial small subunit ribosomal RNA", at positions 37 to 507 of the family's 1533-position model. The record is from RNAcentral.